RNAcentral lists this ribosomal RNA (682 nucleotides) under uncultured organism. RNAcentral's name for it is "bacterial SSU rRNA". It matches the Rfam family "Bacterial small subunit ribosomal RNA". The record is from RNAcentral.
GCAUGCCUAACACAUGCAAGUCGAACGAACCCUUUUGGGUUAGUGGCGCACGGGUGCGUAACGCGUGGGAACCUGCCUUUAGGUUCGGAAUAACACUUAGAAAUGACUGCUAAUACCGGAUAAUGUCUUCGGACCAAAGAUUUAUUGCCUUUAGAUGGGCCCGCGUUGGAUUAGAUAGUUGGUGGGGUAAUGGCCUACCAAGUCGACGAUCCAUAGCUGGUCUGAGAGGAUGAUCAGCCACACUGGGACUGAGACACGGCCCAGACUCCUACGGGAGGCAGCAGUGGGGAAUAUUGGACAAUGGGCGAAAGCCUGAUCCAGCAAUGCCGCGUGAGUGAUGAAGGCCUUAGGGUUGUAAAGCUCUUUUACCAGGGAUGAUAAUGACAGUACCUGGAGAAUAAGCUCCGGCUAACUCCGUGCCAGCAGCCGCGGUAAUACGGAGGGAGCUAGCGUUGUUCGGAAUUACUGGGCGUAAAGCGCACGUAGGCGGCUUUUCAAGUCAGGGGUGAAAUCCCGGGGCUCAACCCCGGAACUGCCCUUGAAACUGGAUGGUGGUGAGAUGUUGGGUUAAGUCCCGCAACGAGCGCAACCCUCGUCGUUAGUUGCCAUCAUUUAGUUGGGCACUUUAAGGAAACAGCCGGUGAUAAGCCGGAGGAAGGUGGGGAUGAAGUCAAGUCCUCAU